GGGGAUUUAGCUCAGUGGUAGAGCGCUUGCCUAGGAAGCGCAAGGCCUGGGUUCGGUUCCCAGCUCCCA
This is a non-coding RNA of Rattus norvegicus (Norway rat), 69 nucleotides long. NCBI's taxonomy places the organism in Eukaryota, Metazoa, Chordata, Mammalia, Rodentia, Muridae. The record is from Rfam.